AUGUCUGAAUCAGUAAAUCUGAAUGUUUACUACGGCGCUGGUAAUGUUCGAUAUAAUGAGUUGGGGGUUGAUCUUAGCGAGUUUAAAAAUGGCGUUAUGACACUAGCUGACCCGAACAGACUGGACAUUAGACAGUUGAAGUACUGGUUGACAACUAGUUUCGGUCUGGAUCCUGGAGUAUGUUCCGUCAGUAUUCAUGCAUUGUGGACCAAAUCUUGUAAAAAUGUCAAGUGGGAGUUGAUGCCGGUAGAUAGGAGCCAGCAUUGGUUGUCCCUGUUAAGACGCUGCCGAGACCGAAGAAUCCACCCAUAUGCACUUGUGCAACCUGUGCCGAAGGAGGAGAAUACCGUACAACUCCACAGGGGGUAUGAACCCGGCCAAGGCAGUGAAGUGGCUAACGAGAUUGUUUUAUCCGGGUCACAGCCACAAGAUGUGGAUGCUAGCCAACCGGAGAAAGAGUCAGACUACGUGCCACACAAUGUUUGUGGUCCUGAUACUGGGCAGAGUAGCCAGUCGAUAAUAUUAGCUGUUUCUGCUUUUGCUGAUGGGGAUGAGGAAGGGGAUGAAAUGCAGAGGGUGAUGGAGGAAGAGGACGAGGAUGGAUUGGUGGAGGAACUGGAUUCUGAAAAUUCUGAGGAUGAAGUUGAGGUACCGAUUCCUUCUGCAUGGGAGCAGGACAUAUCCACCGGCCUUACGGUGAACGAUGGCCAUGAGACUCCAUGGCAGUAUAAUCUGAACCAAGUACAAAUAGGGGCUAUGUUUGAUACAAAGAAAAAAUUGACGUAUGCGGUGAUAAAGUGGGCUAUGUCUACGCAGAGGGUUUUCAAGACACACAUAUCAAGUCCAACAAACUAUACCGUGAAAUGUGUUGUAACAGGUUGUCCUGGGAAGGUGCACGGUCACGUGCCGAAGUAUGACAUCCACUGGGUUGUCACCAUUGUCGUCCCACAUAAUUGUGUGAGGACGAACCUGCUGGUGAAGCAUCCGAACCUGACUUCAAGUCUCAUUGCGCAACUCAUGUAUACUGAGAUAGUAGAGAAGAAAGAUAUGGAAGCAAAACACAUCCAGACAGCAGUGAAGGUCAGAUGGAAUUAUGUCAUUGCUUAUGGGAAGGCUUGGAGGGCUAAGCAGAAGGCUAUGGAGGAAAGGUUUGGGACGUUCUUCGACUCAUAUGAUAAUGUUGUCCGUCUCCUGGGCAUACUGAAGGAAAGGAAUCCGGGCACUUAUGUGAACGUACAACACAUGAGGUUGCUGAGUAUACAAGAUUUCAAGGUGUUGAAACGAGUGUUCUUCUCAUUUGCUAUGUGCAUCGAAGCUUUCCGGCAUUGUCCUCCUGUUAUGUUUGUGGAUGGUACAUUCCUGACCGGUCAGUAUAGAGGGCAAAUCCUUACUGCUAUUGGUGUGGACGGGAACAAUCAAAUCAUCCCACUUGCCAUGGCAUUUGUGGAGGGUGAGAACUUUCUCAGCUGGGUUUGGUUCUUCCGCCAAGUGAAAAUUGCCAUCGUGAAGGACCGACCAAACGUGUGUGUCAUUCAUGACAGACAUGCUGGUAUAUUGAAGGCCGUGAAGACACUUCGGAAUCCAGCAGAUGACGAACCAACACCUUGGAGGGACUUGCAGAGCCGGUGGUGCAUGCGCCAUCUUGGGGCUAAUUUUUUCUCACAGUUCAAGAACAAGCGGUUGAUGAACUUGUUCAAAAAAUUAUGCAAGCAGAGCCAGCAGCGGAAAUACGAAUUUAUUUGGUCAAAACUAGAUGAGUUUACUAAGAAGCAGGUCUGCAUUCAUAAUAUACCUAACCAUGUAUCGCGCAUGUCAAUCUCAGGGACAGUCGCCUAG
This 1836-nucleotide ribosomal RNA is filed under the name Triticum aestivum (bread wheat). RNAcentral's name for it is "partial small subunit ribosomal RNA". The record is from RNAcentral. Lineage: Eukaryota; Viridiplantae; Streptophyta; Magnoliopsida; Poales; Poaceae.